UACAGAGGGUGCGAGCGUUGUCCGGAAUCACUGGGCGUAAAGGGCGCGUAGGCGGCCUGAUAAGUAGGGGGUGAAAUCCUGUGGCUUAACUGCAGGGCUGCCUCCUAGACUGUUAGGCUCGAGCACGGUAGAGGCAGAUGGAAUUCCCGGUGUAGCGGUGGAAUGCGUAGAUAUCCGGAGGAACACCGGUGGCGAAGGCGGCUUCCUGGACCGACACUGACGCUGAGGCGCGAAAGCUAGGGGAGCAAACGGG
This 253-nucleotide ribosomal RNA is filed under the name uncultured bacterium. RNAcentral describes it as "partial 16S ribosomal RNA". It matches the Rfam family "Bacterial small subunit ribosomal RNA", at positions 524 to 776 of the family's 1533-position model. The record is from RNAcentral.